RNAcentral lists this ribosomal RNA (253 nucleotides) under uncultured bacterium. RNAcentral's name for it is "partial 16S ribosomal RNA". It matches the Rfam family "Bacterial small subunit ribosomal RNA", at positions 524 to 776 of the family's 1533-position model. The record is from RNAcentral.
GACAGAGGGUGCAAACGUUGCUCGGAAUCACUGGGCGUAAAGGGCGUGUAGGCGGGAAGGAAAGUCAGAUGUGAAAUCCCCAGGCUCAACCUGGGAACUGCAUUUGAAACUCCCUUUCUUGAGUACCGGAGAGGAAAGUGGAAUUCCUGGUGUAGAGGUGAAAUUCGUAGAUAUCAGGAGGAACACCAGUGGCGAAGGCGGCUCACUGGCCCGGUACUGACGCUGAGGUGCGAAAGCGUGGGGAGCAAACAGG